RNAcentral lists this ribosomal RNA (301 nucleotides) under uncultured bacterium. RNAcentral's name for it is "partial 16S ribosomal RNA". It matches the Rfam family "Bacterial small subunit ribosomal RNA", at positions 509 to 809 of the family's 1533-position model. The record is from RNAcentral.
CAGUCGCCGCGGGAAUACGGAGGGGGCUAGCGUUGUUCGGAAUUACUGGGCGUAAAGCGCACGUAGGCGGCUUUGUAAGUUAGAGGUGAAAGCCCGGGGCUCAACCCCGGAAUUGCCUUUAAGACUGCAGGGCUAGCAGGUGAGAGAGGUGAGUGGAAUUCCGAGUGUAGAGGUGAAAUUCGUAGAUAUUCGGAAGAACACCAGUGGCGAAGGCGGCUCACUGGCUCAUACUGGACGCUGAGGUGCGAAAGCGUGGGGAGCAAACAGGAUUAGAUACCCCUGUAGUCCCUGUCUCUUAUAA